Apodemus sylvaticus (European woodmouse) is the source of this 107-nucleotide small nuclear RNA. Lineage: Eukaryota; Metazoa; Chordata; Mammalia; Rodentia; Muridae. The record is from RefSeq and is a predicted model, not a curated record.
GUGCUCACUUCAGCAGCACAUAUACUAAAAUUGGAACAAUACAGAGAAGAUUAGCAUGAACCCUGUGCAAGGAUGAAAUGAAAAUUCGUGAAUCAUUCCAUAUUUUU